This 497-nucleotide ribosomal RNA is filed under the name uncultured bacterium. RNAcentral's name for it is "partial 16S ribosomal RNA". It matches the Rfam family "Bacterial small subunit ribosomal RNA", at positions 28 to 506 of the family's 1533-position model. The record is from RNAcentral.
GAUGAACGCUGGCGGCGUGCCUAAUACAUGCAAGUCGAGCGAACAGACGAGGAGCUUGCUCCUCUGACGUUAGCGGCGGACGGGUGAGUAACACGUGGAUAACCUACCUAUAAGACUGGGAUAACUUCGGGAAACCGGAGCUAAUACCGGAUAAUAUAUUGAACCGCAUGGUUCAAUAGUGAAAGACGGUUUUGCUGUCACUUAUAGAUGGAUCCGCGCCGCAUUAGCUAGUUGGUAAGGUAACGGCUUACCAAGGCAACGAUGCGUAGCCGACCUGAGAGGGGGGACGGGCCACCUGGGAAUUGAGAACCGGCCCAGACUCCUACGGGAGGCAGGAGUGGGGAAUUUUCCGCAAGGGGCGAAAGCCUGACGGAGCACCGCCGCGUGGGGGAAGAAGGUCUUCGGAUCGUAAAACUCUUUUAUUAGGGAAAAAAAAAGGUUUAAGUAACUAUGCACUUUUGGACGGUACCAAAGAAAAAAGCCCCGGCAAACUACGG